GGGCCCUUGGUUCCUUAUCUUUGUUGCUGCUGCUUAUCUGUACAGCAGUAAAUGUAUCCGCAUAGGCAAUCUGCUGUUUGCCUGUUGACAUUUAUCCAUAAUAUUCAACCUAUAAAAUAUUCAUGCACACAGCUUUGGUGUCUGCAGGAUUUGAAUGUGAGAAGGACAUAUUUUAAAAGGGAGACUAAUGAAUCAUCUGCAGUGUUUCAGACCCCUCAGGCAAAGGUUUUUUAAAGGUCAGUUAAUUCAGUGUGUGACCUGUGUAAGAGAUCUUGGGCAUAUAAGAAGUCAAAAAUAAUCCCUUGGAAGGUCAGAAAAAGCACAUCUUUUGCACGAGGAUGGCUCUGUAUUUCAUGGCAAGUAACUGUAUUGUGAUAGAAAACAUAAGAGGCUACCAAACACAAUUCAGUAGAGGGAAUCCUAGGACCAACAAGUCUGUGUAAUGGAUUCUUUACUCAGACCAGCCCUUGUGAACUACUCUCUGCUUGGGAGACUUUCCCUUUGUAAAACAGAGAGCCCAUGUCUACCUUUACGAAAAUAUUUCCGAUGAGAUUUGUUGUCUAGGAAUUAAAUCUUGACUUGCCAACAGGAUGGCAAUAGCACAAGAAAGGUUUAUAUUUAAAAUGGAGCCAGCAGUUCAUAUUGAUCUGUUUUCAGGUUAUUCGAGCUUUUGGUCCCAGAACUAGGGAUGAAUUUCAGCUUGUCAUACUGAACGUUCUCUCUGUGUCGGUGCAGGAACAGAGGUUUAUAGAGACAGCAUUUAUAAAGCUUCCUAUUCAGAUCUGCUGUAGGAUGCUUUUUUUUUUAAACAUAUAAAUGACGUAUACCAGAGCAAAUGUAAAAGCAAAGAAUUCAGUGAUUCUGUGCAAAUGAAACCCUGCUCGACCCCUCUUGCUUAAUGAGGUUAUGUGCGUCCUAUUUCACAAAGGAAGUGGAAUGCUGCAUUGGUAGAAACCAAAUAUUCCCUGUUGUCAAGGCAAAGGGAGCUAAAUGCAUUUAAAGCAGGAGCCAGUUUAGUAAGGAGAAAAUUUCCAAACGGUCAAAUACUCACUUUGCACAUGCUCCAGAUAUUACAGUGAUGUGCAUCAAA
Molecule: long non-coding RNA, 1090 nt
Filed under: Chrysemys picta bellii (western painted turtle)
Lineage: Eukaryota; Metazoa; Chordata; Testudines; Emydidae
Description: lncRNA (ENSCPBG00000007059.1)
Source: RNAcentral